CUUAGCUCCACAAACAGGAGAACACUGUUGGAAAAGAUGAGAAGAGCAAAAAAAUCUCCUUUGGAGAAUGAUCUAAAAUUCAUUUGUCUGGCCGGGCGCGGUGGCUCACGCUUGUAAUCCCAGCACU
This is a long non-coding RNA of Nomascus leucogenys (northern white-cheeked gibbon), 127 nucleotides long. RefSeq lists it as uncharacterized. The transcript has 3 exons. NCBI's taxonomy places the organism in Eukaryota, Metazoa, Chordata, Mammalia, Primates, Hylobatidae. The record is from RefSeq and is a predicted model, not a curated record.